RNAcentral lists this ribosomal RNA (960 nucleotides) under uncultured beta proteobacterium. Its description in RNAcentral is "bacterial SSU rRNA". It matches the Rfam family "Bacterial small subunit ribosomal RNA", at positions 8 to 967 of the family's 1533-position model. The record is from RNAcentral. Lineage: Bacteria; Pseudomonadati; Pseudomonadota; Betaproteobacteria.
AGAGUUUGAUCCUGGCUCAGGAUGAACGCUACUGCCUUACAAUGCAAGUCGAACGGCAGCGCGGACUUCGGUCUGGCGGCGAGUGGCGAACGGGUGAGUAAUGUAUCGGAACGUACCUUUCAGUGGGGGAUAACGUAGCGAAAGUUACGCUAAUACCGCAUAUUCUGUGAGCAGGAAAGCAGGGGAUCGCAAGACCUUGCGCUGAUUGAGCGGCCGAUAUCAGAUUAGCUAGUUGGUGAGGUAAAGGCUCACCAAGGCGACGAUCUGUAGCGGGUCUGAGAGGAUGAUCCGCCACACUGGAACUGAGACACGGUCCAGACUCCUACGGGAGGCAGCAGUGGGGAAUUUUGGACAAUGGGGGCAACCCUGAUCCAGCCAUGCCGCGUGAGUGAAGAAGGCCUUCGGGUUGUAAAGCUCUUUCGGCCGGGAAGAAAUCGUACGGGUUAAUACCCUGUGCGGAUGACGGUACCGGCAUAAGAAGCACCGGCUAACUACGUGCCAGCAGCCGCGGUAAUACGUAGGGUGCGAGCGUUAAUCGGAAUUACUGGGCGUAAAGCGUGCGCAGGCGGUUUUGUAAGACAGGCGUGAAAUCCCCGGGCUCAACCUGGGAACUGCGCUUGUGACUGCAAGGCUAGAGUAUGGCAGAGGGGGGUGGAAUUCCACGUGUAGCAGUGAAAUGCGUAGAGAUGUGGAGGAACACCAAUGGCGAAGGCAGCCCCCUGGGCCAAUACUGACGCUCAUGCACGAAAGCGUGGGUAGCAAACAGGAUUAGAUACCCUGGUAGUCCACGCCCUAAACGAUGUCAACUAGGUGUUGGGUGGGUAAAACCAUUUAGUACCGUAGCUAACGCGUGAAGUUGACCGCCUGGGGAGUACGGGCCGCAAGGUUAAAACUCAAAGGAAUUGACGGGGACCCGCACAAGCGGUGGAUGAUGUGGAUUAAUUCGAUGCAACGCGAAAA